AGUGGCGAACGGGUGAGUAAUACAUCGGAACGUACCCAGGAGUGGGGGAUAACGUAGCGAAAGUUACGCUAAUACCGCAUAUUCUGUGAGCAGGAAAGCGGGGGAUCGCAAGACCUCGCGCUCUUGGAGCGGCCGAUGUCGGAUUAGCUAGUUGGUGAGGUAAAAGCUCACCAAGGCGACGAUCCGUAGCAGGUCUGAGAGGAUGAUCUGCCACACUGGGACUGAGACACGGCCCAGACUCCUACGGGAGGCAGCAGUGGGGAAUUUUGGACAAUGGGGGCAACCCUGAUCCAGCCAUGCCGCGUGAGUGAAGAAGGCCUUCGGGUUGUAAAGCUCUUUCGGCGGGGAAGAAAUGGCAACGGCUAAUAUCCGUUGUUGAUGACGGUACCCGCAUAAGAAGCACCGGCUAACUACGUGCCAGCAGCCGCGGUAAUACNUAGGGUGCGAGCGUUAAUCGGAAUUACUGGGCGUAAAGCGUGCGCAGGCGGUUUCGUAAGACAGACGUGAAAUCCCCGGGCUCAACCUGGGAACUGCGUUUGUGACUGCGAGGCUAGAGUACGGCAGAGGGGGGUAGAAUUCCACGUGUA
RNAcentral lists this ribosomal RNA (587 nucleotides) under Azospira sp. ST3-7. Its description in RNAcentral is "bacterial SSU rRNA". It matches the Rfam family "Bacterial small subunit ribosomal RNA", at positions 94 to 677 of the family's 1533-position model. Lineage: Bacteria; Pseudomonadati; Pseudomonadota; Betaproteobacteria; Rhodocyclales; Rhodocyclaceae. The record is from RNAcentral.